This 367-nucleotide long non-coding RNA is filed under the name Homo sapiens (human). RNAcentral's name for it is "HSALNT0318680". The record is from RNAcentral. Lineage: Eukaryota; Metazoa; Chordata; Mammalia; Primates; Hominidae.
UCAGUCGCAUGUUAACUUAUUUCCAAGACUCUGAUGUUUCUAACCUUUUAAAGAUUUCAGAGAAUUAAUGGGACACAUGAGAUUUUCACAGUCCUGGCCCUGCAGUCAUCCAAUUGGAGAAUGAGCCAAUCCUCUUUCGCAAGGGCAGUUAUCCCAGACAAGUUCAUGUUCCAAGAAGCCAGAUCAGUGUUUCCGGAGACCGUGGCAGAUACUUGGUGGCAUUGGGGUGUUGCAUUGGACUGAAGCCUCUUCAGAACACUGAGGAUAUACCAAUUCAUUUUAGAAGCCUCCAAGGUAUGUGCACAGGGUUCCUGGUCAUUUCAUCUUGGACUGGACAGGCAGGAUUCACCAUCUGUCAGCUGCCAGG